Molecule: transfer RNA, 65 nt
Filed under: Ixodes pacificus (western blacklegged tick)
Lineage: Eukaryota; Metazoa; Arthropoda; Arachnida; Ixodida; Ixodidae
Description: tRNA-Leu
Source: RNAcentral
AUUAAAGUGGCAGAAAGUUAAAUGCAAGGAAUUUAAGCUUCCUUUAUGAUUAAGUUCCUUUAAUA